CUGCUGUUGCUUUCUCUCUCUAACGAAGUGAGUGAAUGGUUUUAACAACAAUAUUGGUUUUGUUGUUUUUCAUUAUUCUUUGUAUAUUAGUGCAAUGGUGGUGAUUCAGAGGAAAAAAGCUUGUCUGUUUACAUCAGCCCUGAUGGAGUCAUAGCUUUAUGGAUGUGUUUUCGUACAAAAUGUGGAUGGAAAGGCAGCACGAGGGCCUUUGGAGAAUCACGUUCAAGUUUGAAACAAAUUGCCCAAACGAAGACCAUAAGAGAAGUCACAGUGGAAGGUCUGAAACUAGAGCCACUGUCUGACCAGGUUGCUGGAUUUCACCUUUUUUGUGCUCUUUGUUCUGUUUUUGCAAUCACU
Molecule: long non-coding RNA, 357 nt
Organism: Pistacia vera
Lineage: Eukaryota; Viridiplantae; Streptophyta; Magnoliopsida; Sapindales; Anacardiaceae
Exons: 3
Source: RefSeq, a predicted model, not a curated record